Molecule: long non-coding RNA, 309 nt
Organism: Papaver somniferum (opium poppy)
Lineage: Eukaryota; Viridiplantae; Streptophyta; Magnoliopsida; Ranunculales; Papaveraceae
Exons: 3
Source: RefSeq, a predicted model, not a curated record
AUUCAAGUCUUACUAGUUAGUAGCUAUCAAUCAAUCAGGUUAAGUGGUGACUGCCAAGGAUACCAAUUUUUUCUUCGUCUAUCAGAUUCAAUCUAAACCUUUUUGUUUCCAAGGUUGAGGUUGUCCUAUCCAAUCAAUGGCCUUAUUGGAGGGGAAAGUGCAGAUUUGUGGCCUAGGAUUGCAACUUGCAAGUGCAGGCUGUGCAGCCAUCCAUUUUCGUUUGCAAUGAUCGCAUUUCAUUUCUUGUCGACUUGUCGUAGACUGACUUAUAUGGUAGUGGAAAUGUUGUUUUUACUUUUUUAGCAAACU